AAAAUACUAAGUUAAACAAACUCUGGGCCUUCAAAGCCUACAAUGAAAAAAUUUUUUCGUAUUUUA
Molecule: transfer RNA, 66 nt
Filed under: Acanthochitona mahensis
Lineage: Eukaryota; Metazoa; Mollusca; Polyplacophora; Chitonida; Acanthochitonidae
Description: tRNA-Trp
Source: RNAcentral